AACGAACGCUGGCGGCAUGCCUAACACAUGCAAGUCGAACGAGACCUUCGGGUCUAGUGGCGCACGGGUGCGUAACGCGUGGGAACCUGCCCUUAGGUUCGGAAUAACUCCCCGAAAGGGGUGCUAAUACCGGAUCAUGUCUUCGGACCAAAGAUUUAUCGCCUUUGGAUGGGCCCGCGUUGGAUUAGCUAGUUGGUAGGGUAAAAGCCUACCAAGGCGACGAUCCAUAGCUGGUCUGAGAGGAUGAUCAGCCACACUGAGACUGAGACACGGCCCAGACUCCUACGGGAGGGAGCAGAGGGGAAUAUUGGACAAUGGGCGAAAGCCUGAUCCAGCAAUGCCGCGUGAGUGAUGAAGGCCUUAGGGUUGUAAAGCUCUUUUACCCGGGAUGAUAAUGACAGUACCGGGAGAAUAAGCUCCGGCUAACUCCGUG
Molecule: ribosomal RNA, 433 nt
Filed under: uncultured bacterium
Lineage: Bacteria
Description: partial 16S ribosomal RNA
Rfam family: Bacterial small subunit ribosomal RNA
Source: RNAcentral